This is a small nuclear RNA of Onychomys torridus (southern grasshopper mouse), 164 nucleotides long. RefSeq annotates it as U1 spliceosomal RNA. The record is from RefSeq and is a predicted model, not a curated record. Lineage: Eukaryota; Metazoa; Chordata; Mammalia; Rodentia; Cricetidae. The transcript has a single exon.
GUACUUACCUGGCAGAGAAAAUACUGUGAUCACGGAGGUAGCCUUUCAGGGCAAGGCUUAUCCAUUGCACUGUGGAUAUGCUAACUCCUGUGAUUUCCCCAAAUGUGGUAAAUUCAACUGCAUAAUUUAUGGUAAUGAGGGACUGUGUUUAUGUUCUCCCCUUU